UCUCUGAUUAUUAUUCAAUUCAGAUGACUAGUUCAGGAGGGCAUAAAAGUUUAGACAUUAAAUUCCUCUCAAACACUGGAGUUAAGAGCACAACUUAAUUUCAUUCCUCAUACCAACAUCCUUGAUAUAGUUACUUUCAUCAUCACCAACGUGUUACAUUCACCCAAAUGAACACCAACAUUCUUACAGUUCACAAACUAUACUAGACAGAACACAUACUACACAUCAAAAGUAGCAAGGAACGAAACUUAUUGACAACAUAACUACUAAUCAUGUCGGUCCCUUCCCUUUCUUAUCCACUUCCGCACUUUCACUGGCCUUGUGUAUAGUCAUGUUCAAUGAGAUUUCAAUAUUUUUUUCUUCGGCUACCAACAAAAAGAUUGGAACAAGUCAGAGAAGUGUUGAACUUUUUCCGCAGCCGCAUCCAGCACUUGAUUCUCCAUUGUCGAGCAAAUCCCAAUAUUUACAGUUAGCAAUGUUGCAGCAAUUGAAUAAUUUUCCCUUGUUCUUCGUUUCCCUCUCGACCUCAAAGCACUUCACAAAGCCAAUUUUACACCGGGGGCAUCAUCUUUUUUUCACACAAUCCGCAAAGAAAUGACCCUUUUCUCGACAGCUAUGACAUAGCCCAGAGUUCUUUCUUGGCAUUCUGCACACAAACGAACCACACAUUAUGCUACAGUAGACUACAACCACCGAGCACUAUGAAAUCUUCAAACUAUCGAAUUAUUCGAAAACAGUAAAAUCAAGGAAAAUGGAUAACAAAUAUAUGAUGCUUACAUAAUGUUUGCUGCGAUAUUUCAUCGGAGGCGAUGGAUGGAGUCGGAGAUGGUCGAUUUCUACGCGGUGUAGCUUCCGUCUUUCGGCUAAAAAAAAAAAAAAAAAAAAAACCCCAACCGCGAGAUUAACUCGAGUUGGGAAGCCCAAAGAUGGAGAUGAUUGCUAAAUUAACCACUGGCUUCUUAUUCUGGCUGAGAUGGAAUCUGGACUUCGGACCAAUUUUUCGUCAUAAAGGGUUUUCUCUGAUUUGGGGAUAAAUGUGCAAGAGAUAAUAUUUUCAGUUUUGGAAAGCAUCAAAUAACUUGAC
RNAcentral lists this long non-coding RNA (1084 nucleotides) under Olea europaea subsp. europaea. The record is from RNAcentral. Lineage: Eukaryota; Viridiplantae; Streptophyta; Magnoliopsida; Lamiales; Oleaceae.